This 712-nucleotide ribosomal RNA is filed under the name Pseudomonadota bacterium. RNAcentral's name for it is "bacterial SSU rRNA". It matches the Rfam family "Bacterial small subunit ribosomal RNA", at positions 28 to 735 of the family's 1533-position model. Lineage: Bacteria; Pseudomonadati; Pseudomonadota. The record is from RNAcentral.
AUUGAACGCUGGCGGCAUGCCUUACACAUGCAAGUCGAACGGCAGCACGGGAGCAAUCCUGGUGGCGAGUGGCGAACGGGUGAGUAAUAUAUCGGAACGUGCCCAGUCGUGGGGGAUAACGUAGAGAAAUUUACGCUAAUACCGCAUACGAUCUAAGGAUGAAAGCGGGGGAUCGCAAGACCUCGCGCGAUUGGAGCGGCUGAUAUCAGAUUAGGUUGUUGGUGAGGUAAAAGCUCACCAAGCCGACGAUCUGUAGCUGGUUUGAGAGAACGACCAGCCACACUGGGACUGAGACACGGCCCAGACUCCUACGGGAGGCAGCAGUGGGGAAUUUUGGACAAUGGGCGAAAGCCUGAUCCAGCAAUGCCGCGUGCAGGAAGAAGGCCUUCGGGUUGUAAACUGCUUUUGUACGGAACGAAAAGGUCUGCCCUAAUACGGUGGGCUCAUGACGGUACCGUAAGAAUAAGCACCGGCUAACUACGUGCCAGCAGCCGCGGUAAUACGUAGGGUGCGAGCGUUAAUCGGAAUUACUGGGCGUAAAGCGUGCGCAGGCGGUUAUAUAAGACAGUUGUGAAAUCCCCGGGCUCAACCUGGGAAUUGCAUCUGUGACUGUAUAGCUAGAGUACGGUAGAGGGGGAUGGAAUUCCGCGUGUAGCAGUGAAAUGCGUAGAUAUGCGGAGGAACACCGAUGGCGAAGGCAAUCCCCUGGACC